GUCAUCCUGCGCCAGUAUUGCGCAAUAAUGCGUAAUGAGAGGAUAUGGUUACUUUCUGAAGGAAUGAGGACUCUAGACACCGUAUAUGAAAGCACAGAUACAGUGAAAGGACAACAAUAUGUCAAGUUAUCAAGGACCUAGAAUACAGCAGUGAGACAUGAUGACAACAUUUGAGCUUCAUACCCAUGUGAGCAUGACAUUACAAGAAGAUGACCAACGUGGGAAAAUGAUGGUUAAGAUCAUCUGACACAGUUCACUUGCAGUUACAGAAAGGGAAUCACCAUUUUAAAAAAAUCCACAGUUAUGUCUAAACGUGUUCUUUUAAUGACAUUAAAGCCCGUAAAUUAA
Molecule: long non-coding RNA, 348 nt
Organism: Notolabrus celidotus (New Zealand spotty)
Lineage: Eukaryota; Metazoa; Chordata; Actinopteri; Labriformes; Labridae
Exons: 3
Source: RefSeq, a predicted model, not a curated record